This 561-nucleotide ribosomal RNA is filed under the name uncultured bacterium. RNAcentral describes it as "bacterial SSU rRNA". It matches the Rfam family "Bacterial small subunit ribosomal RNA", at positions 777 to 1342 of the family's 1533-position model. The record is from RNAcentral.
AAUAGAUACCCCGGUAGUCCACGCCGUAAACGAUGGAUGCUAGCUAUUGGGGGGAAUCGACCCCCUCCGAAGCGAAGCUAACGCGUUAAGCAUCCCGCCUGAGUAGUACGAGCGCAAGCUUAAAACUCAAAGGAAUUGACGGGGACCCGCACAAGCGGUGGAGCGUGUGGUUUAAUUCGAUGGUAAACGAAGAACCUUACCAAGGUUUGACAUCCCGGUAGCCGUUCUCCGAAAGGAGAAUUUCAUUUAGUUGGACCGGUGACAGGUGAUGCAUGGCCGUCGUCAGCUCGUGUCGUGAGAUGUUGGGUUAAGUCCCGCAACGAGCGCAACCCUUAUGAUUUAGUUGGAUUUUUCUAAACAGACUUGCCCUGGUAACAGGGAGGAAGGAGGGGAUGAUGUCAGGUCAGUAUUUCCCGUUAACACCUUGGGGCGACGACACGCGCUACAAUGGCCGGUACAAUGGGCAGCUAAGCCGCGAGGUGGAGCAAAUCCCGAUCAAAGCCGGUCCCAGUUCGGAUUGCAGGCUGAAACCGCCUGCAUGAAGCCGGAAUCGCUAGUACC